Molecule: ribosomal RNA, 497 nt
Filed under: uncultured bacterium
Lineage: Bacteria
Description: partial 16S ribosomal RNA
Rfam family: Bacterial small subunit ribosomal RNA
Source: RNAcentral
GAUGAACGCUGGCGGCGUGCCUAAUACAUGCAAGUCGAGCGAACAGAUGAGGAGCUUGCUCCUCUGACGUUAGCGGCGGACGGGUGAGUAACACGUGGAUAACCUACCUAUAAGACUGGGAUAACUUCGGGAAACCGGAGCUAAUACCGGAUAAUAUAUUGAACCGCAUGGUUCAAUAGUGAAAGACGGUUUUGCUGUCACUUAUAGAUGGAUCCGCGCCGCAUUAGCUAGUUGGUAAGGUAACGGCUUACCAAGGCGACGAUGCGUAGCCGACCUGAGAGGGUGAUCGGCCACACUGGAACUGAGACACGGUCCAGACUCCUACGGGAGGCAGCAGUAGGGAAUCUUCCGCAAUGGGCGAAAGCUUGACGGAGCAACGCCGCGUGAGUGAUGAAGGUCUUCGGAUCGUAAAACUCUGUUAUUAGGGAAGAACAAAUGUGUAAGUAACUAUGCACGUCUUGACGGUACCUAAUCAGAAAGCCACGGCUAACUAUGUG